Molecule: ribosomal RNA, 463 nt
Filed under: uncultured bacterium
Lineage: Bacteria
Description: partial 16S ribosomal RNA
Rfam family: Bacterial small subunit ribosomal RNA
Source: RNAcentral
GACGAACGCUGGCGGCGUGCUUAACACAUGCAAGUCGAACGGAAAGGCCCCUUUGGGGGUACUCGAGUGGCGAACGGGUGAGUAACACGUGAGUAACCUGCCCUUGACUUCGGGAUAACUUCAGGAAACUGGGGCUAAUACCGGAUAGGAAUCCUUGCUGCAUGGUGGGGGUUGGAAAGCUUCGGCGGUUUUGGAUGGACUCGCGGCUUAUCAGCUUGUUGGUGGGGUAGUGGCUUACCAAGGCUUUGACGGGUAGCCGGCCUGAGAGGGCGACCGGCCACAUGGGGCUUGGGAGACGGCCCAGACCCCUACGGGGGGCAGAGGUGGGGAAAUUUGCACAAGGGGGGGAGGCCUGAGGCAGCAACCCCGGGGGCGGGAGGACGGCCUUCGGGUUUUACCCCGCUUUCAGCGGGGGGGAAGCUUUUGUGGCGGUACCUGCAGAAGAAGCACCGGCUAACUACGU